UAGGAGCUCCGGCGGUGUCCGCGGGGAGCCGGGCCGCGGCGCCGAGUGGAAGCGGACGUGCGGCCCGGCGGAACGAGCGCGGAGCCGGGCCGGGGAACGCCGCGCCUGGUGCUGCAAGUGCUGAGGCUCGUUUCUGUUACCUGAGCUCAUGAAGAUGCAAACUCUUCUCAGGACAUGUCCUUACACUGUAGCAUGGGCUGCUUCUUAGGGAACAUAAGAAUCUGUGUUGCAGCCCAGUGAGAGGAAAAGAAAAGUAUUUCCACCUGUUAUAGAGAAGAAUAUCUGGCUUCCAAAUCAGUCCAUCAGGAAAGCGGACGUUCUUCACUCCAGGGUAUUCAGACACAUUCCACUGUAAGUAAUGAUCUGUCCAGUACUAAGACAUACAGACAGAAAGUAAGUUAGAUUAGCUUAUUCAUUGCCUUACUGUAGCUCUCCAGACAAUAUAGCCUGAAACAAUACAUGCUUUCGUGUUCAGGUUAUUAUUUAGAUUCAGACAAUGAAAAACUUGGAAAGGGUGAAUAGGCCACCAAGAGCUCACUCAAAAGCAUAAUUCACACUACAAUGCAUAUGUAACAGCCUAUAAAAGAAGAUUCGAGAUGCCUCUAUUUUAUUGUUCGUGCUGUUUCAGGUAGCAAGUUGGGACACAACAGGUUUUGUUUUAUAAUUCAUACUUAACUUCAGUUACAUUUUUUCUUCAGAGACAACUUUGUUUUCUGUGUUUGUGAAUUCUUACAUUGUAAUAACUUGAUUACAGAUGUGUGGUAGAGCAGCCAACAGACUGCUGAUAGGGAAAAGCAAUUGAAAUGGUUGAGCAGUUAAUACUAGCAGCUCCUGUAGCCUGAGGUUAGCCAACCUCUGAAGCAGUGCCCAGCAGCUGCUGCAGAAGCUCCCUUCCCACUGGCACUUCCUGCACUGCAGGCUACUGCCCUGGUGGCAGUGUGGCUUCAGUAUAGGCAUAGAUUCUGGUGUGGUCAAUCCAACAGGGUUUAGAUCUGGGUUUCUUGGCAUGUGCUUCCAUGUAUUUCUCAUUUUUUACUAACAGUUUUUAGCUCCUUGUCACCUCGACAAAUGACCAGCAUUGUGAAUUGCUUUUCUUCCUUUUGCUCUCCAAAUAGUGGUUUUUACAGAGAUCUUCAAUAUCUCUGCUCUUAGCUUUUUCUUUUCUAAUUACAAACUAUGAGUC
Phasianus colchicus (ring-necked pheasant) is the source of this 1183-nucleotide non-coding RNA. The record is from RefSeq and is a predicted model, not a curated record. NCBI's taxonomy places the organism in Eukaryota, Metazoa, Chordata, Aves, Galliformes, Phasianidae.